Dicentrarchus labrax (European seabass) is the source of this 518-nucleotide long non-coding RNA. RefSeq lists it as uncharacterized. The transcript has 5 exons. Lineage: Eukaryota; Metazoa; Chordata; Actinopteri; Moronidae. The record is from RefSeq and is a predicted model, not a curated record.
ACUGACAGGUAAUAGUAACAUACCCACUGACAGGUGAUAGUAACAUACCCACUGACAGGUGAUAGUAAUAUACCCACUGACAGGUGAUAGUAAUAUACCCACUGACAGGUGAUAGUAAUAUACCCACUGACAGGUGAUAGUAACAUACCCACUGACAGGUGAUAGUAAUAUACCCACUGACAGGUGAUAGUAAUAUACCCACUGACAGGUAAUAGUAAUAUACCCACUGACAGGUAAUAGUAAUAUACCCACUGACAGGUGACAGGUGAUAGUAAUAUACCCACUGACAGGCAAUAGUAAUAUACCCACUGACAGGUGACAGGUGAUAGUAAUAUACCCACUGACAGGUGACAGGUGAUAGUAAUAUACCCACUGACAGGUGACAGGUGAUAGUAAUAUACCCACUGACAGGUGACAGGUGAUAGUAAUAUACCCACUGACAGGUGACAGGUGAUAGUAAUAUACCCACUAACAGGUGACAGUAAUAUACCCACUGACAGGUGACAGGUGAUAGUAAU